GACGAAGGAUGCAAGCGUUAUCCGGAUUCAUUGGGUUUAAAGGGAGCGUAGGUGGGUUUGUAAGUCAGUGGUGAAAGCCGGUCGCUUAACGAUCGAAUUGCCAUUGAUACUGCAGACCUUGAGUACAGAUGCUGUGGGCGGAAUAUGACAUGUAGUGGUGAAAUACAUAGAGAUGUCAUAGAACACCGAUUGCGAAGGCAGCUCACAAAACUGUAACUGACACUGAGGCUCGAAAGUGCGGGGAUCAAACAGGAUUAGAUACCCUGGUAGUCCGCACUGUAAACGAUGAUUACUCGCUGCUGGGAGGUAACUUUCAGUGGCUUAGCGAAAGCGAUAAGUAAUCCACCUGGGGAGUACGCCGGCAACGGUGAA
Molecule: ribosomal RNA, 372 nt
Filed under: uncultured bacterium
Lineage: Bacteria
Description: bacterial SSU rRNA
Rfam family: Bacterial small subunit ribosomal RNA
Source: RNAcentral